UGACCGUUGUGGAUGAGAGUCCAGGCGUUAGUCUUUCAAAUAUUGUGAUUUGAAAGAAAGAAAUUGAAUAGUGUAGCAAUUGAAUCAAACAGGGAGAGAAUCAGAUUCCAUGUAAGCAAAGCUAACCAAUUAAAAAGCUGAGAAAGAAGGCAACUUAUCAAAUCUCAGCGAAACCGAAUCCACGCACAGUUUCCUUCUCUCAAUCUCUGUCUGUGUCUCAAGAAACCAAACUAUACGGAGAAUAAGAGAAGGAUAUAAACUGGAAAUGGCAAACAGUUGUAGUGGUGAAGUACAAGAGAGGGAUAUGGUGGUGGUUCAAGAAGAAGAAGCACACCCAUAUGCGUUUCAUGUCUCCGGACCUCGAAAUGUGGCUUCUCCUAAUUGGAGAGACCUUAUCAGUUCUAGUUGGAAGAAAGAGAACUACAAGCGAACUGUAUUUUCCUGCUUCAUUCAAGCAGUUUACUUGCUUGAAAUUGACAGACAAGAGAACAGAACAGAAGAAAAUGCGCUAGCUCCAAAUUGGUGGCGAGGCUUCAAAUACAAAUUGACCCAAACCUUAAUCGAUGAAAGAGAUGGAUCUAUAUUUGGUGCGGUCCUAGAAUGGGAUCGAGCUGCAGCAUUAGCUGACAUGGUCCUUAUGAGACCCAGCGGAGCACCAAAGGCUGUUUUAGCACUCCGAGGAACAUUACUCAAAGGCCCUACAAUCCGGAGGGAUAUUGAGGAUGACCUCCGUUUUCUGGCAUGGGAAAGUUUGAAAGGUUCUGUCAGAUUCAAAGUAGCGUUGGAGGCAUUAAAAUCAGUUGCUGAAAUGCAUGGAAGCAGCAAUGUAUGUGUUGCUGGUCAUUCCUUGGGGGCUGGUUUUGCUCUCCAGGUGGGAAAAGCAUUAGCUAAAGAAGGUGUGUAUGUGGAGGCCCAUUUAUUUAACCCACCUUCUGUUUCUAUGGCAAUGAGCUUAAGAAACAUAGGAGAGAAGGCUGGGUUUGCUUGGAAGAGAUUUAAGUCAAUGCUUCCUUCAAACGGUGAAACACAGGCAACCGGUGAUGACGGAGAGAAGACCUCUACUUUAGGAUUGAGGAGUUGGAUACCUCCUUUUGGUUAUAAAACUCCUUCUAUGGGAUUAAAAAAUUGGGCGCCUAAUUUUUACGUGAACAAUAGUGACUACAUCUGCUGCUCCUACACUGAUCCGGAUGGAACUGAAGAUAAAAAAGAAGCUGACAAGGAGAAUGCAGGUCCUGCAAAUGGGCAAGUUGCUGCGAAGCUGUUUGUUAUGUCCAAGGGAAAACAGAAGUUUCUUGAGGCUCAUGGAUUAGAGCAAUGGUGGUCUGAUGAUGUGCAACUUCAACAGGCUCUACAUAACAGCAAGCUCAUGAGCAGGCAGCUGAAAUCGUUGUAUACUUUCCCAGCUACACAACCAACACAGCGAAUCCCACAAUGACAUAAGGUUAUAUGCUCUCAUUAUUUGCCAAAUACCUCGUUUUCGUUCCUGUUUCUUUCACACUACCAUUCUCUGUUUGUAAUCUGUAUCUGAUAGAUACCAAACAGAAAAGGAAAAAGAAAAGAGCAAAGCAAAAUUGUAUUCAUAGAUUGUCUUGCUGGCAAAUUUGUGUUCAUCUAAUCCAAGCAUGGAAAGAAUAAGACAGAAGAUUCCAUUUUCUUCCCCCAUACCGAAGUUUGAAGGUGGCAAAAAAAGUUCAUUCACCUCACAAUAAUGAAAACUUCUCUGUCAACUUUCAUCUUCUCUUACUUGUAUUUUCUAAAAGAUUCAUAAUCACGAUCUUACUUUAGCGAGGUUCUCAGAUGUUAGCACUAACAAUUGCACUUUUUUUCUUCUUUUUGCGGAAAUUUAAUUGUCCUGUAAUAGAGGUCAUCAUGUCUUACAUUUUCAAACAAUUAAGUGUUAAAAGAAUCUGAAUAA
RNA transcript from Populus trichocarpa (black cottonwood), 1915 nucleotides. It is a transcript of the gene named GDSL esterase/lipase At4g10955, with no coding region annotated. NCBI's taxonomy places the organism in Eukaryota, Viridiplantae, Streptophyta, Magnoliopsida, Malpighiales, Salicaceae. The transcript has 3 exons. The record is from RefSeq and is a predicted model, not a curated record.